RNAcentral lists this ribosomal RNA (911 nucleotides) under Xanthoparmelia loxodes. RNAcentral describes it as "eukaryotic LSU rRNA". It matches the Rfam family "Eukaryotic large subunit ribosomal RNA", at positions 71 to 942 of the family's 3401-position model. The record is from RNAcentral. Lineage: Eukaryota; Fungi; Ascomycota; Lecanoromycetes; Lecanorales; Parmeliaceae.
GGGAUUGCCUUAGUAACGGCGAGUGAAGCGGCAACAGCUCAAAUUUGAAAUCUGGCUCCUUCGGGGUCCGAAUUGUAAUUUGUAGAGAGUGCUUCGGGCGAGGCCUCGGUCUAAGUCCAUUGGAACAUGGUGUCAUAGAGGGUGAGAAUCCCGUAUGCGACCGUGGCUCGAGCCCAUGUGAAGCCUCUUCGACGAGUCGAGUUGUUUGGGAAUGCAGCUCAAAAUGGGUGGUAAAUUUCAUCUAAAGCUAAAUACUGGCUGGAGACCGAUAGCGCACAAGUAGAGUGAUCGAAAGAUGAAAAGCACUUUGGAAAGAGAGUCAAACAGUACGUGAAAUUGUUGAAAGGGAAGCGCUUGCAACCAGACCUGCCCGUAGGCGAUCAGCCGCUGUUCUCAGCGGUGCACUCGCCCUGCGAUCAGGCCAGCAUCGGUUUCGGCGGUCGGAUAAAGGCCUUGGGAAUGUAGCUCCCCUCCGGGGGAGUCUUAUAGCCCUCGGUGCAAUGCGGCCAGCCGGGACCGAGGACCGCGCUUCGGCUAGGAUGCUGGCGUAAUGGUUGUAAGCGACCCGUCUUGAAACACGGACCAAGGAGUCUAACAUCUAUGCGAGUGUUUGGGUGUCAAACCCAUGCGCGGAAUGAAAGUGAACGGAGGUGAGAACCCUUUAAGGGCGCAUCAUCGACCGAUCCAGAUGUCUUCGGAUGGAUUUGAGUAUGAGCAUAGCUGUUGGGACCCGAAAGGUAAUUUGAACUCCCCUCUUGUUUAUAAGAAUCAUAUGCUAACUUUUCCAAAAGAUGGUGAACUAUGCCUGAAUAGGGUGAAGCCAGAGGAAACUCUGGUGGAGGCUCGCAGCGGUUCUGACGUGCAAAUCGAUCGUCAAAUUUGGGUAUAGGGGCGAAAGACUAAUCGAACUA